CAGAGCAAAGUGAUUUCACUUUUCUGCGUACCUUUCUCGGAAAAAUUAACAUAUGUUGCUAGUUCUCGUCAGUACCAAAGAAUCCUCCCACCGCUAUCCACAAAUACUAGGGAUGAAUCAGAUUUGAAUCGGCUAAAACCGCUCUUAAUCCUGAAUCUGCACCUUCUUCGUCUUCGAUUGCUGCAAAAUUGAGGGACCGUUCAUGUAUCCUUUUUCCACUGUUCAUGUGCAAUUUUCGAUUUCUAUCGUAUCUGUGGGCACGCGCGCAUUGACAUUUGUGUGUUCGCUCUUUGCUGUAUAUCUAAAAUGCAUUUUUUCUGUUGUGCCGUUAGAUUCGAGGUGGAUGGAGGUGAUUUUAGGGGAAAAAGAUGCCGGCGAUUGGAUCUACAGAGGAGAAGGAGCUGCCAAUCUUGUUCUUGCAUACGGUGGAUCCUCGUCUGAAUUUAUCGGGAAAGUACUACGAAUACAAAAAGCUCCUUCAAAUGGAUCUCCAAGAUAUGGCUUUGAUAUUGAGGAUGGAGAUUUAGCUCUAACUGAGGAUGAGUGUCUUCUAUGGAGAGAAAUUGAAGGCCUUGCAUCAGCAGCAACAAGGGAAAUUGCAGAACACCUGUAUGUACGACAUGUGAUGAGUCCCCUGUUAGGUCGUGGGCAUGUUGAUGCUGGGAUUUUUGUAAUUGUAUCCAAGGAAUUUCUGGAGGUGGUUGAAAAGAAUGUCCUUUGUCAACGUCCUUCUUGGCGAGUUGAUGCUGCCAACGUCAAUGCCCUAUGUAAUUCUGCUCUUCUCAUGUCUGAUCAUUCAGUUUUCCCAAAAGGUAAUCUAAAAGGGAACUUCUGCAUAUCUGUUGAGAUAAAGCCAAAGUGUGGAUUUCUUCCUAUUUCAAGAUUUAUAUCUGAAGGAAAUGCUGUAAAAAAGAGUACAACUCGGUUUAAAAUGCACCAAGCACUGAAAUUGCAUCAAGGAGAGACAUCAGAACUAAGUGAAUACAAUCCACUUGAUAUGUUCUCUGGAUCCAAGGAUAGAUUACAUGAAGCAAUCAUGGCACUCUUUGCAACUCCUCAUAACAAUUUCCGUGCUUUCUUGAAUGGUUCCCUCAUAUUUGGUGGCUUGGGUGGUAGAGCAGAUGGUACUAGUUGUAUGAUUGGUGAAGCAUUUGAAGAUGUACUUAAGUGUGUAAUUCAGGCAGACGAAGGCCUCCGUACAAGAUAUUUUCUAUGCCUUGUUACUGAAGCGCUUUAUGGAUCAGGGUUAUUAAAUCAGCUCCUCAAAAUACAGAAGCUUGAUGUCUUUGACAUUGAAGGCGCUAUUCAUGCGUAUUAUGACAUUGUUUCUCAGCCUUGUAAGGUGUGUGAAAAUCUAGGUGAUAAUAAACUAUCAAACAUCUAUACUUAUCUUCAUUCAUUGCCUUUGGAUGAAAGCUUGAAGAUUGUGAGGGACUAUUUGAUAGCUGCAACUGCAAAGGACUUGAGUAUUAUGAUUUGCUUUAGACCCAGGAAAGAUGAGGAUGUGGAAUCUCCAUAUAGUUCUGUAUUCCUCGAAUCAACCAACCAAAGGUUUGAUUAUAAGGCAUCUUUUAUUGACCUGGAUAUGAAGCCACUGAAGAAGAUGGAACGCUAUUAUAAAUUAGACCAGAAGAUAGUCAACUGCUACACUCGCAUGGUGAACAGAGAGCAGGUACAAAAAGUUGUGAGCAUUGACAUGUAUGAAGCUACAUAUUCAGAUGAAUCCAUCAAAACAGAGAAUGGCUCUAAUGCUGAAGAUCCUGAUGGGUUUAGUUCCCAAGAGCCCCUUAAAUGGAGAGUCAGACAACCUAUAAUGGCUUGCAAGCAGGGUGGUGGCCAACAAAUUAAUUUCCUACCUGUAGCCUGUAAUCAUGUAUGAACUGCUAUAGGUUAGUUAAGCUACCAACAUUGGCAGAGCAAUUAACAUGGAAGGGCUCUUGCACUUUGGCUAAGUGAUCAUAAGCAUGGUAAUUAACAUGGAACCGUCCAACUUUGGAACCUGUCCUGCAGCAGCUUAAUUCAAAAGGUCCCAAGCUAUUCAAGAUCCAGUUAGAGAGAGAGAGAGAGAAUCCCAAUGGGCAAUUGGUUAUGAUUUGACACUUCGUUAAUGGGUUUAAUGAGCAAUUAUGAUGGUAGUGAUGUUGUCUUGUCCCUGGGAUAGUGGGAGUGAUGAGGUUGACAAUUGAACUCUCUCUUAUGUGGAUUGAGGCCAUGCUCCUCAAGAGAGGAAUGGGAUCUCAACAGAACCCAUAGCUGUAGCCUCAUACGCUAUGGGUUGACAAUUGGACUCUCUCUUAUCCAGAAACCCUUGCAAGUCUGGGUGGAUACCUAGGUCUUGCCUCAGCCUAGGUUGUCAAGGUACAAGAUUAACUUCUAAAGAACAUUAGCAUGCCAUAUUGGAGAUAGCACAUGCUGAAACCUCACCUCCUGAUGGUGAGACACUCAAGAGAAGAGUUUCUUUAACAGAGCCAAGAAUGUAUGUCGACAGAGAGAAUUAUAGAGAUGCAACUUCCCACUCUUUAACUAAGCUGACGCUUGGAGAAGGCUUGAUCCUUAGAGGGAGAGACCAGAGAUUCAUACGCUUAAUCUUUGGAGGGAGUUAUUGGAGAUUCAUAUAUUGGAUCCCCAAAGAGAUAGUUGGAGAUUCACAUGCCAUCUUGACAGUAUAUAGGGAGACAAAUCCCUAGGAGGAGAGAUUACGAGAACAGAUAGGCAACCCACAUUUUCUAUAAAUGUAGAUGUGGGUGUGAUGCCUCUGCUAUUUAAAUCCAUGGUUACGGGAGCGACUGGCACGGUAUUUGGCCUUCGCCAUCCCAUGUUCAAGUUUAUGUCAUACUUGAGACUGUAUGACUCAGACAGAUCCAACAACUUGUAAUUGGCAUCUCAAUCUCAUUGACAUUUGCUGCAGCAGCCUUUGCCAUCCAUCUACUUUCUUGAAACGAUUAUGUGUUCACUGGCCAUUCAUGCCCAUGCACAUAUUUACUCUUCUGAAUUUUCUUCUUUUGUUGACUGACCUUAUCUUUGGCAAACUGGAGAAGUUUACAGAGGAAUGUGACUUCUGUUUUA
Molecule: RNA transcript, 3066 nt
Organism: Diospyros lotus (date-plum)
Lineage: Eukaryota; Viridiplantae; Streptophyta; Magnoliopsida; Ericales; Ebenaceae
Gene name: inositol-pentakisphosphate 2-kinase
Exons: 11
Source: RefSeq, a predicted model, not a curated record